AAGAACGGAUAUCCAGUUGAUAGCGCAACAUGCCACCGAUGCCACCAAAUCCUCUGCAAAACUGUGAUCCCUCUUGAGAUUUGUUGGUAACAAACUCAAGUGUGCACCCAAACUUUUUGUACUCAUUAGCAAACCAUUCCAAAAGCGAGGUUUUCUCCUGAACCUCCAACUCCGCAUUGGUAGAUGGAUCACGGAAAUGGCUCUGGUCAGCUUCUUGCUCUUUGUUCAGAUGUUUGAUAAUAGUUUCUCCAGUUGCACUAUUCUUAAGCACAUAUCUGUUGACAUCGAGGUUUUCCCACACUAUGAGCGUCUCAACAGCACCCAUUUCAAGAGCCUUCAGUGUGUCAUCAACACCAAAGACAUACUUCCCUGUAUCUUGACUAAUUUCUUCAAAAUAUUUUCCAAUCAGCUUCUUCUCCUGUAUGAAUUUCACAUUUGC
RNAcentral lists this long non-coding RNA (439 nucleotides) under Setaria italica (foxtail millet). RNAcentral describes it as "long non-coding RNA (SITA_LNC006520)". Lineage: Eukaryota; Viridiplantae; Streptophyta; Magnoliopsida; Poales; Poaceae. The record is from RNAcentral.